This is a long non-coding RNA of Suricata suricatta (meerkat), 541 nucleotides long. RefSeq lists it as uncharacterized. The transcript has 2 exons. The record is from RefSeq and is a predicted model, not a curated record. Lineage: Eukaryota; Metazoa; Chordata; Mammalia; Carnivora; Herpestidae.
GCCCCCAUCCCUCCCCCAGAAGGUCCUCCCAAAUUUCCUCAGCCAGGCGCUCUGCAGCGGAUUCGCAGACUGGCAGGCUCAGGCUCGUGGGCAUUUUAUGUGCAGAGGAGGGGAUUCUCCCCCCACAGCUGUGGAAGAGGUCACAUUAAAAUCCCUGUUUCCAGCCUCUCUUGGGAACCCUGGUGACCUCCUGCUCUCUCAUGCACGGAUUCCAGAGUCAGACAGCCCUGGAUUUGAACCCAGCCCCUCCACUCACCAGCUGGGCAGCUUUGGGCACGUCACUCGCCUCUGCCCGCCUUACCUUCCCCAUCUGUAGAAUGGGGACGAAGAUUCCAGGCACGCUGGGACCGUGUGAGGAUUUAUCCCAUCCGCCAUCAGACAGCUCUUGAUUCCGUGAGGACUCAGUGUAACGAUGUUUGCUAAGCACCUACCACGUAGUAUCUGCCCCGUUGCCACGGGGGCCGUGCCGGGAGUGGCUGGACGGCCCUCCACCCCCGCCCCCAUCGCUGAUCUCUGCCUCUAAUACACUUUCUAGCCCGUA